This is a long non-coding RNA of Alligator mississippiensis (American alligator), 1278 nucleotides long. RefSeq lists it as uncharacterized. The record is from RefSeq and is a predicted model, not a curated record. The transcript has 2 exons. Lineage: Eukaryota; Metazoa; Chordata; Crocodylia; Alligatoridae.
GGGAAGCCAGAGGGGAAGAGACCACAUUUCUUCAACAAAAAAGAGUUCAGAAGCAAAGCUUCAAGCACUGUGCAAAGAGAAUUUGUGAUGGGAUAAAUAGAGUGGUUGGAUCACAGCCCCAGCACCUAAGCUGCCUGUCUGCUCCACGCUGAUGAUGAAGCAAAACCUCUGAUAAUUGGAAUGCACCACUGAACAUCCAUUAAACUAAAGAUAUCGUAAGGGCAAGCCUGCAAUAUACAUCUGGGAAAGAAGCCUCUGAUUAGUUCACAGCAAACUGCAGUCAGAAGGAGAUUCUUCUGAUGCACAAAAGGGAUCCUGAUGCUUAAAUCCUGUUGAGAGCCAAUUGGAGUUGAACACCGAACUGUCACUUGUAGCUUGGAAACAAAUGUUCCCCCAACAGCAGUUUGCCAAUUUUGACAUAAUGGUUAAAUAGUGCUAAAUACAGUUGUGAGGGCAGGACCCUGCUACAUCUUUUAGCUGUUAUUACCUUGGCCUGUUUCAGUGUCAUGAUUUUAUAGGGUGAAUUGAUUAUUGAAGACUUUUUGCAGAUUACAUAAGAAACAGUAUUUGAACAGUCCUCUGAAAAUGCAAGUUCACAUUUCAUUUUCUUACUAGGUGGAAAUUCUGCUUUGUGUUAAGUAACGCUAGUGCUUCUUCCUCCUAGGUAGCAAAGCUUUAUAAUAAUUAAAGCAGAUUCAUCCUAGCAUAUCAGAACUAUGAUGACUCUGGGUUUUUAAUUCCUGCUGUCUUGUAGGCAGCACCUUGGAAAAUAUUUAUCAUUAUUCUCCUUGGCACUGUAUAAAGGAUGACUUGUGGGGAGAAAUUACAUUAAAAUCAAAAUAGGGUUGGCAAAUUUAUUUGUUCAUUGGUUUCUCUCCUGUUGGGAACAUCAGUUCCAAUCCAGACUAGAUUAAAUCAAACUAAAAAACACCCAGAUUGCAUAGUUGUAAAGUGGCCAAGGAUGAAUGAGUUUCCUGAUCCCAACUCCCCAUAGCAAUUGCUUACAUGCCACUGAACAACCGCACGCUGAGAACAAUGGACAUCUUUGGCUUUUGAGGCUAUCAUGAAUCAAAUUAAUGUUUAUAAACUAAAAUGGCCCUUAAAUCAGUUAAAAUGGCUUUUCCCACAUGUUGCCAUAACAGAAAUGGAAGCUGUCUGUCUUUUCCAUCAGCCGUGUCCUGAGACUGCCUGUGAAAUGGGAACAGAGUCAGAAUUUCAGCUUCAUGCUUCCAGGUUUUCAGUCAGAGGGAUCAUUAAAUUAAUUGCUUAAACAAAAAA